UGCGUAGGCGGUUUAUUAAGUCAGUGGUGAAAUCAUGCAGCUCAACUGUAUAAGUGCCAUUGAUACUGUUAGACUUGAGUAUACUAUAGGCAGGCGGAAUUUAUGAUGUAGCGGUGAAAUGCAUAGAUAUCAUAAAGAACCCCGAUAGCGAAGGCAGCUUGCCGGAGUAUAACUGACGCUGAUGCACGAAAGCGUGGGUAGCGAACAGGAUUAGAUACCCUGGUAGUCC
Molecule: ribosomal RNA, 229 nt
Filed under: uncultured bacterium
Lineage: Bacteria
Description: partial 16S ribosomal RNA
Rfam family: Bacterial small subunit ribosomal RNA
Source: RNAcentral